CCCCAAGAGAGAGGAAGUUCCAGGUUCCUUGCACCACCUUAAGGAAGGUGGAGCUGGUCCAGGAGGCUCCCUGCCCCACCCUAAGAAGAGUUGCUGGGGAGGGAGUGGAAUCUGGGAAGACAGAAGGACUGAGAGAGAAAAUCUGGCUGAAGAGAAGUGUUGAAGAAAAGAGAUCAAUCAGGAAGAGCACCUGGAGAAGGCACAAGGCGCAGAGACUUGUGAAAAAGCUGUGCUUGCUUCUUGGCCUUUGACUGGUUCCAGGGACUUGGAGAACAUGGAAGGAGACACUUGAAACAGACCUGGACACACAGCACCUCCAGACUGGGGAAAGACAGUGAUUCUGGCCAAUUGGAAUAGUACAUUGUCUGAUCACAGUAAUGGGGCUUUCCUAGAUCUCCCAGAUAUUAUCUCAUUCACAUAUUCAUGAAGUCCUCUGAAAUAGUUUGAAUGGUCAUGAUGGCCCCCAAUGCUGAUGAUGAAUUUAUUUCAAGGUUUUGAAUAACUUAAUAUUACACAACUGCUUAAUAGCAAAUAAAGGUUACAUAAUCCAAAGAAUACCAAAAAUGCAGAGAUUAUCACGUAGCCACUAACUACAAAUGUUGAAUAAGUACUGUUGUAUAUUUAUA
This is a long non-coding RNA of Talpa occidentalis (Iberian mole), 626 nucleotides long. RefSeq lists it as uncharacterized. The transcript is spliced from 3 exons. The record is from RefSeq and is a predicted model, not a curated record. NCBI's taxonomy places the organism in Eukaryota, Metazoa, Chordata, Mammalia, Eulipotyphla, Talpidae.